GAUGAACGCUGGCGGCGUGCCUAAUACAUGCAAGUCGAACGAAACUUCUUUAUCACCGAGUGCUUGCACUCACCGAUAAAGAGUUGAGUGGCGAACGGGUGAGUAACACGUGGGCAACCUGCCCAAAAGAGGGGGAUAACACUUGGAAACAGGUGCUAAUACCGCAUAGCCAUAGUUACCGCAUGGUAACUAUGUAAAAGGUGGCUAUACUACCGCUUUUGGAUGGGCCCGCGGCGCAUUAGCUAGUUGGUAGGGUAAAGGCUUACCAAGGCAAUGAUGCGUAGCCGAAUUGAGAGGUUGAUCGGCCACAUUGGGACUGAGACACGGCCCAAACUCCUACGGGAGGCAGCAGUAGGGAAUCUUCCACAAUGGGCGAAAGCCUGAUGGAGCAACGCCGCGUGGGUGAAGAAGGUCUUCGGAUCGUAAAACCCUGUUGUUAGAGAAGAAAGUGCGUGAGAGUAACUGUUCACGUUUCGACGGUAUCUAACCGGAAAGCCACGGCUAACUACGUG
RNAcentral lists this ribosomal RNA (512 nucleotides) under uncultured bacterium. Its description in RNAcentral is "partial 16S ribosomal RNA". It matches the Rfam family "Bacterial small subunit ribosomal RNA", at positions 28 to 507 of the family's 1533-position model. The record is from RNAcentral.